AAGGGACACGGGCAACUUGUUGGUGUGACUGAAAUGUUCUUUAACUUGAUUGUUGGGGUGAUUACACAGGUAAACACAUUUUUCAAAACUCAAACUGUACAAUUUAAGUGGGUACAAUAAAUUUUAUUUCAAAAGUCAAAACAUUUUUUAAAUCACUAGUUACAAGCGUAUACAGAGUGAGAACUCAUUCUAAAUAAACUCGAUGUAUUCAUAAGACAUAUAGCCAUGUGCUAUCUCCAGGAACAAGGAGAUCCUGCAAGUUUUAGAUGAGUACUUUAAACUCCAUAUCAAUAUUCCAACAAAAAAGAAAUGACACACUCACAUUAGGUAAUUUGAGGAGAAUUUAGUCAAGGAUUUUAUUUUUUAUUAAAUAAAAGAAUUUAUUUAAAAGACAUGGGCAGAGUAUAAGAAAACCAUAAGAGAAAGUGCAGUAAACCAGAGGGUUAUCAGUUAAGACCAAAGAGACAGCAAGGGAGUGGGUAUCAGGACAUAGAACAGAGUCCCCACGGAGAGGUUUGCCUUAAUAGAACCUUCAGGAGGGAGGUCCCCAGCUAGAAACAACCUGCAGGGAGAGGGUGGGGGGAAUAAAUGUCAGGCUCAGCCUCCUCCUUCCCUCCCAUCUCCUGCUAGGGCUUCCCUUUGCUGAACACACCUGGAAGCCAGGAAGAAGGGUGUUCACUAAUGUCGUUUGUACAGAUCAGCCUCUUGGGUACAAAGCAGAGUGGAGAGGACUGAAGCGUGGAUGUGGAGAGGCAGGUGGAAUAUAUGUAGCACAAUUUCCAACUCCCCCAAUCCUUCUCACUGCCUCCAAAUUUUUAUUUGGUAGGUCAACAGUGGGUCCAGGAAUCUGAGUUUUUAAAAGCUAUUCAGGUGAUCCUGAUGACCAGCAAGCGCUUGGAUCACUGUACAAAACUACCUCUUCCCGUUAAUCGUCGACACAUAAAAUUUCUAAUACGGAUGAACAGACACAAAUUUCAUGGGAUUCUACCCAUAAUUACACAGUUUUUCUUUUUUAAGAUUUUAUUUUUUCCUUUUUCUCCCCAAAGCCCCCCAGUACAUAGUCGUAUAUUCUUUGCUGUGGGUCCUUCUAGUUGUGGCACGUGGGACGCCGCCCCAGCGUGGUUCGAUGAGCAGCGCCAUGUCCGCGCCCAGGAUCCGAACCAACGAAACACUGGGCCGCCUGCAGCGGAGCGCGCGAACUCAACCACUCGGCCACGGGGCCAACCCCCAUAAUUACACAGUUUUUAACAUUUAUUUGUAGGUUCCAUUCACCUAAGAAUGUAAAAGAGGCAUUGAAUAUUUAUUAUGCAUGCUUUCUGAGAGUCUGAGGGAGUCAACACCACCGGCAAAAGGCACUUCAGUGACGAUUAGAAAAUGAAAAUAUUGCAAUCGGGACACCUGGAAAGGUAGAAUUAGGCUCCUUCCUCUCUGAAAACUAAGGAGCUACUACUCAGGUCUUUACCCUUGAAGCUUCCUGGAGAACAGCCCCAAAGAUCAUAAGAAAUGUGAGAAAUCAACAACAUCAAGCUACUCAACUGUUCAAGAGAUAAGAUGAUAGAGUCAUCAGAUAGUCACGAGCAGGGACAUCUUCCUAUAAAGGCAGCAGAUGUUGGGUCUAAGGUAUCAGUGUUGCUCAGAGUCAUCCUUUAUCUUCUUCUGCAGCAGGGAGAAGGGGUCUAGGAAUAACUAAGGGGGUCAUUUCAUUUUCCAGAGUUGUUCCACUGCUCCCUUCUUCAUUCUGAGCCU
Molecule: long non-coding RNA, 1746 nt
Organism: Equus caballus (horse)
Lineage: Eukaryota; Metazoa; Chordata; Mammalia; Perissodactyla; Equidae
Source: Ensembl